Long non-coding RNA from Eriocheir sinensis (Chinese mitten crab), 2746 nucleotides. RefSeq lists it as uncharacterized. The transcript is spliced from 4 exons. The record is from RefSeq and is a predicted model, not a curated record. Lineage: Eukaryota; Metazoa; Arthropoda; Malacostraca; Decapoda; Varunidae.
UAUAAUUAUCUCGGUCUAACUUAUACUGUUUAUUAUACCGCUAUUUGCAGCAAUAUCUUUCUCUGCUCCGAUUGCAACGCUGCCUCGUUCAAAAAUCAUAACACCGCCGCGGCCGCCACGUUUACCAGCCGGAGCCUCAAAUCAUGUCCCUUUGUGGUGAUAAAGAGGACACAGCCUGGUGUGAAGCUACAUUUAUUACGGAAGGAUGCCAGCCGGGACCCGAACACGUCCGAUAUCAUCCAAGAGAAUGUGGCAGCUGAAGGGGGAGAGGCCAAGAAAGAGGCCAAGGGUGAAGACAUUUAGCCACCCCCCCUGAAGUACAUGGCAUCAUUCAACCCUCUUGGUGAGCUGCAGGAAUGUGCUUCCCAUUGCAGUGCACCAGCUCCAUGUACUGAUUUUGGUGUGAACUUGAUGGGGUUGGAGGAAACUCGACUCGGCCAUCAAGCUCACCACAAUAUAACAUGAAAAGUGAAAAUUGCUCCACACAACAGUCUGUCGUCUGCACCGGGAGGCAAGGCAGCUCAAAGCCCAGGCUGUUACAAAUCCUGGGCAGUUUUUGCCCAGAGCCAGCAAUAUUUUAGAUCCAAUAGGGAUGGAUUUUUUCUGAGGUCAGGUUCAACAUGCUGCAAGAUGCCAAGAUCUAAGCCUAGUAGGAGAUAUGGGUUACAAGAGAGGAGGUUUGCUCUGGCCUUAUACUAUCAAAGUCGAAAUGCUAAUAGAUUUCUGAGCACAGUAUUUCACUUGUCUUCAGUUUCAACACUUCACUCAUGACUCAGGGGUAUUUCAGUACAUGUUGGCUGGAGCAAACAGACUCUGACAGCCCUGCAGCAAAGAGCAUAGGCUUUGUCAAAAGAAGAGAAACUUCGUGGGAUUUGCCAUUAUUUAGAAUUACUCUUGUUACGCCAAGAAUUUUUUUCCAUAUACUUUGCCAAAUAUUGCAAGUAAUGCACCAUUGUUGGGCUUGCUUGUUAUAAAUCAGAUCUUGUUCAAUUAACAAGCUUUGGGUGUCUGCCACUUUUCAGUUGUAAUGCAAGGAAUCAUUUAUCUUCCCUGCUAGAUAUCACACGUAAUGCACCAUUGUUGGUUUUGCCUGUUAUAAAUCAGAUCUUGUUCAGUUAAAAAGCUUUAGGUGUCUGCCACUUUCCAAUUGUAAUGCAAGGAAUCCCCUGCCAGAUAUCGCAUGUAAUGCACCAUUGUUGGUUUUGCCUAUUAUAAAUCAGAUCUUGUUCAGCUCGCAAGCUUUGAAUAUCUGCCAUUGCUUAUUUCAGGUGUAAUGCUUGGAAGCAUUUGUUCUCUUCCCUACCCAACAGUAUGCAAUACUUUAUUGUGGAUUUUGCCUGUUAUAUUUAAUCUUGUUCAGGUAGCAAGCUUUUGGUGUCUGCCUUACCUAAUAUGUCCUGCAGUGACACUUGGCUUGGUUUCAUAAUGUGAAAUACAGCAUGUAAUUUCAUCACACUAAGUGUCUAUCAUCACGUGUCUGGCAUCAUUAAUGUGGCUUCCAGGAGUAAUCUUGUUUGUAUUACAGCUUGCAAAUUUUUUUCUGCUUUAUAUGAUAUACAUAAUCACAUAGGUAUGAUUUACAAAAUGUAAUGGCAGUUGAUAUUCUUGACUAAUGCCUCAUAAACCUUGUGAAAAAUAAUGCUUUUUUGAAAGGGGGGGGGGGGGGACAGAGAGUGGUUUGUUUGGUUGGCCAGUUCAAGGAGUUUCAUAUCAAAUGAUUUUAUUACAUCCAACUUUAAUGUGUGCUAAAAACAUAUAUUUUAUUACAUCCAACUUUAAUGUGUGCAAAAAACAUAUAUUUUAUUACAUCCAACUUUAAUGUGUGCUAAAAACAUAUAUUUUAUUACAUCCAACUUUAAUGUGUGCUUCCUGCAAUAAAUGCUACAUGUUUACUGAUGUAGCCCAUAAAAUACAUAUCACUCUCUGCCCUGUAAUUUGGUGUGUCACAUACUGCAGCAUAACUUUCCUGCUAUUUUCUUACACUAUGAGUUGCCUUAUUUUGUCUCAUUUGCUUUUAUCAUAUGUGCCUCCGCUGCAUAGCUGUGCCUGCUGAACUUAAUAUCUUCAUGACCCUAACACCAAGGUCAGAGCUUGUGAGAUCAUACCGUGUCCUACAUUCCAUUUUCACCUCCAGGCUCGCCUGUCUCCCAGGACCACCAAGUUAUUGCAUUCCAUUUAAGACAACUCAUGUGUUACCUUCUUAAUGUCCUCCAUCAUGUAUUUCAGCAUGUUUUAUGAUGCUUUGCUCUGAUAUUGAUGUGCCUUGCAACAUUUUUAUACAGUUUUCAUUGUAUAUAAUGCACCAUUGUUGGUUUUGCCUGUUAUAAAUUGGGUCAUGUUCAGUUAACAAGCUUUGAGUGUCUCCCAUUGUUUAUUUCAGUUGUAAUGGUUAGAAGCUUUUGUUCUCUGCCCUGUCAAGCAGUAUGCAAUGCUUGCCAUUAUCUGGCACUUGUACAGUUAGUAAGAUGUUUUUACUCAGCUAAGAGCAUUCUGCAAAAGGUAAAGGUACGGUUGGGGGCAUACGCUGUAGCAGCGCAUGGCCUCGGUGCUCAUCUCUGUAACAUUAGCCCAUGAGCCUGUGGUGUUAGGGAACCCAUUACCCUGGGACACAGGACCAGUGUGACAUCCGGGUUACCACAGUUGCAAAGGCAUUAUAGUAAUUUAGCAUGCAUAGAAUGUUGUAUGCUUUGCUUGUAUUUAAAGCACUGGAUAUGUUUGCUACACACACACACACACACAUAUAUAU